RNAcentral lists this ribosomal RNA (844 nucleotides) under uncultured Trichococcus sp. RNAcentral describes it as "bacterial SSU rRNA". It matches the Rfam family "Bacterial small subunit ribosomal RNA", at positions 56 to 876 of the family's 1533-position model. Lineage: Bacteria; Bacillati; Bacillota; Bacilli; Lactobacillales; Carnobacteriaceae. The record is from RNAcentral.
UGCAAGUCGAACGAACGGAUUGAGGAGCUUGCUCUUCAAGAAGUUAGUGGCGGACGGGUGAGUAACACGUGGGUAACCUGCCCUUCAGCGGGGGAUAACAUCCGGAAACGGGUGCUAAUACCGCAUAGUUUCUUUUUCCGCCUGGAAGAAGAAGGAAAGAUGGCCUUUGUGCUAUCACUGAGGGAUGGACCCGCGGCGUAUUAGUUAGUUGGUGGGGUAAUGGCCUACCAAGACGAUGAUACGUAGCCGACCUGAGAGGGUGAUCGGCCACAUUGGGACUGAGACACGGCCCAAACUCCUACGGGAGGCAGCAGUAGGGAAUCUUCCGCAAUGGACGAAAGUCUGACGGAGCAACGCCGCGUGAGUGAAGAAGGUUUUCGGAUCGUAAAACUCUGUUGUCGGAGAAGAACAAGUAGGAGAGUAACUGUUCCUACCUUGACGGUACCCGACCAGAAAGCCACGGCUAACUACGUGCCAGCAGCCGCGGUAAUACGUAGGUGGCAAGCGUUGUCCGGAUUUAUUGGGCGUAAAGCGAGCGCAGGUGGUUUCUUAAGUCUGAUGUGAAAGCCCACGGCUCAACCGUGGAAGGUCAUUGGAAACUGGGGAACUUGAAUGCAGAAGAGGAGAGUGGAAUUCCAUGUGUAGCGGUGAAAUGCGUAGAUAUAUGGAGGAACACCAGUGGCGAAGGCGACUCUCUGGUCUGUUAUUGACACUGAGGCUCGAAAGCGUGGGGAGCAAACAGGAUUAGAUACCCUGGUAGUCCACGCCGUAAACGAUGAGUGCUAAGUGUUGGAGGGCUUCCACCCUUCAGUGCUGCAGUUAACGCAUUAAGCACUCCGCCUGG